AUGAGGUCGCAGCUUGACGCCGCCGCCACCGCGUCUUCGCCGCCGGCGUCCGCUCUCCGCCCCUGGCCGCCUCGGGCCCUUCUUAGGGUUUGCGUGUUCCCCGGGCGGUUCCGCGUCAGACGCGGUGACGGGAUCAGGGUUGUCUGCUCGGCUAGCCAUCUUCCCAGCGGCAUCAAACAAGGAGGAGCAAGAGUGUUCAGAUCAGCAAAGAGGACAUGUGAAAAGGAGACCGAGCCUAAUGUGAACACGUCAACCACGUCGGGGGCAGAAAAUCACCUAUAUUUUCCUGUUAAGGGAAACAACAUGGUGAAUAUAGUAAGCAUCACAUUCUGCCUUCUACACAGAGUUGUUAUAGGCCAGAUGCAGUUUAUGAUGAAAUCAUUCCCCAGGAUAUCACAAAAUAUUACAAGUUUGCCAUUUGCUUGCAUAUCUGAUCCUAUUAGAACACCUGUGCCUCUUAAGCUAGAUGUGACUCUUCCACCACCGCCUGAUGUCAGAUGGAGUAUUUCACGCUUGUACUAUCUAUUCAAUACACAGCUUGACCGAAACAUUGCCUUGUCUAUUAUCACUUUGCUCGUCACGUGCUUUUCUAUUGUGUUCGUUGGAGGAUUGCUAUUUCAUAAGUUCAGGAAGAAAGAACAGCCUCUGGAGGACUGCUUAUGGGAAGCUUGGGCAUGUCUAUGUUCAUCAUCUACUCAUCUGAAACAAAGGACACGUAUUGAGCGUCUUAUUGGGUUCUUUCUUGCUAUCUGGGGUAUAUUGUUCUAUUCUCGUUUGUUAAGCGCGAUGACAGAACAAUUUAGAACCCAAAUGCAUAAGGUAAGAGAAGGAGCCCAGUUGCAGGUCCUUGAGGAGGAUCAUAUCGUUAUCUGUGGAGUCAAUAGUCAUCUGACGUCCAUAUUGAAUCAGUUGAAUAAGUUUCAGGAAUCAGCAAUUCGCCUAGGUACUGCUACAGCAAGGAAGCAGAGAAUUCUCCUUCUCUCGGAACUUCCCAGAAAGCAUAUUGAGAAGCUUGGAGAUACCAUAUCUAAAGAUUUAAAUCAUGUUGAUGUAUUCACCAAGAGUUGUAGCCUUAGCUUGACAAAAUCAUUCGAGAGAGCAGCAGCAAACAAAGCAAAGUCUAUAAUCAUCUUACCAUCAAAAAAUGAACGAUAUGAAGUGGAUACAGAUGCAUUUCUUUCUCUGUUGGCUCUCCAGUCUCUUCCACGAAUUGCAUUGGUUCCUACCAUUGUUGAGGCUUCUAACUCGACCACUAUCGAACUUCUGAAAUCAAUCACAGGCUUAAAUGUGCAACCGGUGGAGAUGGUUGCCUCUAAGUUGUUUGUGCAGUGCUCUAGGCAAAAGGGCCUUCUUAAAAUCUACAGACACUUGCUUAAUUCUCGCAAGAAUGUUUUCAACAUUUUCAGCAUUCCUGAAGUAGGAGGCAUGAAGUUUAAGGACGUGAGACGUAAAGUCCAAGAUGCAGUCGUUUGUGGUAUUUUUCGGUCUGGUGGGAUUCACUUCCACCCAGGUGAUGAUGAAGUAUUGAAAGAAACAGAUAAAUUGCUUCUUAUUUCUCCUGUCUGCGGGAGGAGAAAAUCACAGUAUUCAGUUUUAAAUAUAUCUGAACGAACAGAUAGUUCAGUUAGUUACUCAGAACCAAAAGAGGGUCAAAGAUCUUCUAGUGUGGUUACUGAGCUGAAGGAAACGCGGCUAAAGAACAUUGUAGAGCGGCCGUCAAAAUCAUUCUCUAAGAGCAGCGAAUGUACACUGGGACCAAGGGAAUGCAUACUUAUUGUUGGUUGGAGGCCAAAAGUUACUGAUAUGAUUCGAGAAUAUGAUAAUUACCUUGGACCUGGUAGUGUAUUGGAAAUAUUGUCAGAAACCCCUAUUACAGAGCGGACGAGUGUUGUCAACCCCCUUAUGCAGAGCCAACUUAAAAAUAUUAAAGUUACUCAUAAGGUGGGAUGUCCUAUGAACUAUGAUACUUUAAAGGAAGCGAUUAUUAACAUUAGGAAAUCUGCCAAGUGUGACAAAAAUGUUCCUCUUUCAGUCGUGGUGAUAUCCGAUAGAGACUGGCUCAUUGGAGAUACUGUACAGGCUGAUAAGCAAUUGGCAUAUACCCUUCUCCUUGCUGAAAAUAUUUGCCACAAAAAUGACAUUAAGGUUCAACAUCUUGUAUCAGAAAUUGUAGACACGGGGCUGGGAAAGCAAAUAACUAGAAUAAGACCCUCCCUUUCAUUUAUUGGAGCAGAGGAAGUUAUGAGUCUUGUGACGGCACAAGUUGCGGAAUGUAGUGAGCUGAAUGAAGUAUGGAAGGAUAUUCUGGAUGCUGAGGGAGAUGAGAUUUAUAUUAAGGAAGUAGGACUGUACAUGAAGGAAGGAGAGAAAAUAUCAUUCACUGAGCUGUCUGAAAGGGCAGUUUUGCGUCGUGAAGUUGCCAUUGGUUAUUUUAAGGACCAGAAGCAGCAUAUAAAUCCUACGAACAAGUUGCAGCCACUUUCUCUUGAAAUGACGGAUUCACUCAUCGUGAUAUCAGAGUUUGAAGGUGAACAACCAAUUGUGAGGGGCAGCAAAACUUCGGCAUGA
This 2568-nucleotide ribosomal RNA is filed under the name Triticum aestivum (bread wheat). RNAcentral describes it as "partial small subunit ribosomal RNA". The record is from RNAcentral. Lineage: Eukaryota; Viridiplantae; Streptophyta; Magnoliopsida; Poales; Poaceae.